UCCUAUAAAUAAAAAAUAAUGCGUAUAAUUUCGGGGAUAUGGCCCAGAGUUUCUACCAGACUACCGUAAAUGGUCUGACUACGCAAAAAAUAGAUAGGUCA
This is a regulatory RNA element of 101 nucleotides. It matches the Rfam family "Purine riboswitch aptamer". From Rfam's summary of the family: Riboswitches are metabolite binding domains within certain messenger RNAs that serve as precision sensors for their corresponding targets. Allosteric rearrangement of mRNA structure is mediated by ligand binding, and this results in modulation of gene expression. The record is from Rfam.